This 77-nucleotide transfer RNA is filed under the name Podarcis lilfordi (Lilford's wall lizard). RNAcentral describes it as "tRNA.Ala". The stretch from base 13 to 69 matches the Rfam family "tRNA", at positions 8 to 63 of the family's 71-position model. From Rfam's summary of the family: Transfer RNA (tRNA) molecules are approximately 80 nucleotides in length. Their secondary structure includes four short double-helical elements and three loops (D, anti-codon, and T loops). The record is from RNAcentral. Lineage: Eukaryota; Metazoa; Chordata; Lepidosauria; Squamata; Lacertidae.
GGAGAAGGGCCAUAGUUCAGUGGAAGAGCAUCUGCUUUGCAAGCAGAAGUUCCCAGGUUCAAUCCCUGGCAUCUCCU